AGCAUUCUGGUCGAAAGCGAUUUGCAUCGCUCCUUGCAAGAAAUCUCUGAUUAAUGGGCCGACUUGGGCUUACACAAUUAUAUGAAUUGGCAGCGGCUUGCGUGUAAUUAGUGAUCGAUUUUUGUUCUUUUCGGCGGUGAAGUGGCCUUUGGAAAACUAGACAACUCACGGAAUGCACAGAAUGCUCAACUAUGUCACGCUCUGAACAACUUUCCGAGCAGAUUACUGUAAUUAACUUGUUCUAAUCGGUUUUCGACGCGGUGAUGAGGCAAAACUCAAAGUGUGUGGCGACUUAAGCUAAUUACAACUUACUACACAUGUGUAACCCACUCUAAAGCGAGCUUCAAGUUCAUAAAAAUAGCUACCAUUAUCCUGACUUAUAUAAUUUAUUGCGUAAACCAGUCCUGUUUAUAUUCAACUGCUAGCAACUUCAAUUGCCAACUUAAACAUCUCAUUACCAAUUCAAUGAGAAACACUCUCGCACAAACAGGGACAUCCCAUUUCGGAGGACAUAACUCAUCUCCCCUGAUUCAGUGUGGCAAAUAGGAAUAACAGGCCUGCGGCAAUGACACAAGGAGGCGCACUCAAGACAUAGCCGCACCCGCUUUCAAUGCGGAAUUUAAUUGCCAUAUAAAUGAAGGACAGCUAGAGGAGCCUCCUCCCCGAAGACUAAUUGCCGAGCGGCACAAACGCAGCACACAGUAUUGAUCGAUGUGGCAAGUCACGAUGCUGCCGCUCAACCAGUUGGGGCAAACUGUUGCAUGUGACCCACAAAUGAGGCCAACUGUAAAAUGGGCACCAAGGCGCAGGACCUAGCAAAACUGAGCCUACUUCGAAUGGUCCUU
Molecule: long non-coding RNA, 845 nt
Organism: Drosophila sechellia
Lineage: Eukaryota; Metazoa; Arthropoda; Insecta; Diptera; Drosophilidae
Exons: 3
Source: RefSeq, a predicted model, not a curated record